AGCCUGUUGGUCGAGCGGUAAGACGCUUACCAGAACAGAGCCCCCUCUUCAUGAGGGGGCUCUGGCGCUGCGAGAGAUGCCGGGUUCGAACCCCGGACGGGCUG
Molecule: non-coding RNA, 104 nt
Organism: Stygiomarasmius scandens
Lineage: Eukaryota; Fungi; Basidiomycota; Agaricomycetes; Agaricales; Campanellaceae
Source: the annotation of a GenBank genome assembly